This 303-nucleotide long non-coding RNA is filed under the name Gossypium barbadense (sea-island cotton). RNAcentral describes it as "long non-coding RNA (GBAR_LNC000632)". Lineage: Eukaryota; Viridiplantae; Streptophyta; Magnoliopsida; Malvales; Malvaceae. The record is from RNAcentral.
UCAAUUUCAAUCCAACUAAUCCAACCUUUUCAAAAUUAAAUUAGUUUAUGGGCAUGCUGCACAGUCGUCUAUGUAUAGAGCUUGCACGCAUAGAAUUUAGAAAUAAAAACAGUUGAAUGAAACAAUAAAUUAAUUCAUAUCUAUGCUUCAACCAUUAAAGAAAAUAAAGGUUUCAUCAUGUAAUCCUAACCCUAUGAGAUUUAGCUUAUGGGUUGGAAAAUGAAAUUCAAAACCAAAAUAUCAUUCAACAUCUAUUUCAUCAAAAUAAUUCAUGGAGAAAUAGUUAAGAAAUAAGAGAAAAAU